RNAcentral lists this ribosomal RNA (322 nucleotides) under uncultured eukaryote. RNAcentral describes it as "partial 18S ribosomal RNA". It matches the Rfam family "Eukaryotic small subunit ribosomal RNA", at positions 1470 to 1796 of the family's 1831-position model. The record is from RNAcentral.
CCCUUAGAUGUUCUGGGGCGCACGCGUGCUACACUGAGUGGAUCAGCGGGUCAGGUUGCGCGAAAGCGUUUCCUAAUCUUUAAAUCCGCUCGUGAUGGGGAUUGACGGUUGCAAUUUUCUGUCAUGAACGAGGAAUACCUUGUAAGCGCGGGUCAUCAUCCCGCGCUGAAUACGUCCCUGCCCUUUGUACACACCGCCCGUCGCUCCUACCGAUUGAGUGGUCCGGUGAGGCUUUGGGAUCUGAGCGGAAAGAGCGUUUCGCUGUUUCUGCUCGGAAAACUCAGUCGAACCUUAUCAUUUAGAGGAAGGAGAAGUCGUAACA